Molecule: RNase P RNA, 327 nt
Filed under: Tissierellia bacterium
Lineage: Bacteria; Bacillati; Bacillota; Tissierellia
Description: RNase P RNA component class A
Rfam family: Bacterial RNase P class A
About the family: Ribonuclease P (RNase P) is a ubiquitous endoribonuclease, found in archaea, bacteria and eukarya as well as chloroplasts and mitochondria. Its best characterised activity is the generation of mature 5'-ends of tRNAs by cleaving the 5'-leader elements of precursor-tRNAs.
Source: RNAcentral
CGAGUAAAUCGGAUAAUCGCGUUUGAAACGAGGAAAGUCCGUGCACCACACAGCGAGGAUGCCAGAUAACGUCUGGUGGAGGCGACUCUAAGGCUAGUGCAACAGAGAUAUACCGCCCGAAAGGGUAAGGGUGGAAAGGUGAGGUAAGAGCUUACCAGCAAGUGGGUAACUACUUGGCUAUGUAAACCCCAUCCGGUGCAAGAUCAAAUAGGAACAAACCUGGCAGCUGGUCAGGUCCGGUAGGUAGAUUGCUUGAGCAUAUCGGCGACGAUAUGCCUAGACAGAUGAUUAUUAGAACAGAACACGGCUUACGGAUUUGCUCAUUAG